GACGAACGCUGGCGGCGUGCCUAAUACAUGCAAGUCGAACGCACUCUCGUUUAGAUUGAAGGAGCUUGCUCCUGAUUGAUAAACAUUUGAGUGAGUGGCGGACGGGUGAGUAACACGUGGGUAACCUGCCCUAAAGUGGGGGAUAACAUUUGGAAACAGAUGCUAAUACCGCAUAAAACCUAACACCGCAUGGUGUAGGGUUGAAAGAUGGUUUCGGCUAUCACUUUAGGAUGGACCCGCGGUGCAUUAGUUAGUUGGUGAGGUAAAGGCUCACCAAGACCGUGAUGCAUAGCCGACCUGAGAGGGUAAUCGGCCACACUGGGACUGAGACACGGCCCAGACUCCUACGGGAGGCAGCAGUAGGGAAUCUUCCACAAAUGGACGAAAGUACUGAUGGAGCAACGCCGCGUGAGUGAAGAAGGUUUCGGAUCGUAAAAACUCUGUUGUUGGAGAAGAAUGUAUCUGAUGGUAACUGAUCAGGUAGUGACGGUAUCCAACCAGAAAGCCACGG
This 511-nucleotide ribosomal RNA is filed under the name uncultured bacterium. Its description in RNAcentral is "bacterial SSU rRNA". It matches the Rfam family "Bacterial small subunit ribosomal RNA", at positions 28 to 496 of the family's 1533-position model. The record is from RNAcentral.